Molecule: long non-coding RNA, 4930 nt
Organism: Equus caballus (horse)
Lineage: Eukaryota; Metazoa; Chordata; Mammalia; Perissodactyla; Equidae
Source: RefSeq, a predicted model, not a curated record
AGCCCCAUUACCAUGGCCAUUACUCAGGUCUUCCUGGGAGCAGACAAGGGAUAGCCUGUUAGUGGCAUGGGCAAAUGGGACAGGUUAGAUUAUCCUCAUGUGGGCUGUCUAAAAUCAUGGACACAGUUUAAUCAUUCAGACUGAGUUGGGGGACCCAAGGUCUACCACCCAGUCAAGAGACUACACUGAAGGCACUGUCAACCUGUGCCCCUUAAAUGAUGUAGGUCCCACUUGGGGAACUUCAAUGAUUGUAAGCAACACUUCUUGGGGCCACAAUGUGCACUCGCAAGGGCUGUACUUCUCAGGUGGAAAUCUAAUACUGCCUUGUCAUCCCUAUCAAUACCACGGUUAACUUAUCUAACGAUGGGUCAUAAGAGACCAUCUAGUGUUUAAGAAAGCAUGUAGCCCUCAGGUCACUGCGGAUCUCUCUCCAAAAUAAGCCCACCCGCAGUUACUUGGGGGAACCCCCAGAGGGAUAAUUGACUCACACUUAUGCAUGCCCUGUGGGAUAUCUCUAGAAUGAGAAUCAUCUAAUUAGAAAAAGGUGGUGAAUUUGUUUCCUAGGGCAGUUGUAACAAAAUACCACAAACUAGACGGCUUAAAACAAAAAAUUACGAAGGUUAGAAGUCUGAAAACAAGGUGUCAGGAGGGCCAUGCUCCCUCUGAAACCUUUGGCAAGAAUUCUUCCUGGCCUCUUCCCAGCUUCGGGUGGUGGCCAUCAAUCCUUGGUGUUCCUUGGCUUCCAGCUACAUCACUCCAACCUCUGCCUCUGUCAUCACAGGGCAUUCUCCCUGUGUGUCUCUCUGCUCAUCUUAUAAGGAUACCAGUCAUAUUGGAUUAUAGGUCCACCGCACCCCACUAUGACUUCAUCUUAACUAUUUACAUGUGCAAUGACCCUAUUUCCAAAUAUGGUCACAUUCUGAGGUACUAGAGGUUAGUCCUUCAACAUAUCUUUUGUGGGGGGAGGGGUUCCACCCAUAACAGAUGGUUAGAAAUUUGUUCCUAACCUUAGCUGAAGUGAUCAAUGAUAUCACCUUAGUCCUGGAAGUGAUUCAUGUCAGUCUCAACUCACUGGCCAGAGUUGUUCUGGAUGAAAGAACUGUCCUAGACUUGCCCCUCGUGGACCAAGGCAGAUCCUGCUACACCUGCAUUGAGACCUCAGGCCAAGUGGAAAGGAAGCAUACUGAAGCGUUGAGCAGCGACACUUCAUGAUGGCCACAAGUUACAGAGUUUUGGCCAGCCACCUCCAACUCACCAGUCCCCGCUACGAGAUGCUACUCUGAACAGCAGCUUUUCAUGAUCUAAUGAGUUUAAGAAAGCCUGACUGAUGGAUCCCUGCCCUAAAAGAUGAAUAAUCUUAGUUGGGAAUGCAAAAGCAAAAUGCACGUUACAGUUCACAGGGUGAAAGGAAUGAUGAGUAUGUACACGUAAGGGAAGCAUUAAACUCUAACAGCUGCAGAGUCACAAACCCCAGACCUGACAGGCACGAGCCGUGUGACUUUGGGUGAACUGUAUGGCCUCUUAGCUUUGAAGUUCUCAUCUAUACAAUGGAUUUCUGCAGAACUACCUUUCAGAGCAGUGAGAAGGACAUGAGAUACUGUAUACACAAACGACUUAACAUAGGACCCCCAACAGUUCACACAUAAUAAACAAUAAUUUUAUUUAGUUAGAGGAGGAACGAUGUUAGCCAGUUAACAUCUAAUACGUCAAUGGAAUAAUGUAUUCACCCUCUUCUUUAAAAUACCUUUGUAAUUACUAAUUUUAUUUCAUUUAUUUAAACUCCAAUAAUAUAUUUAUCUCUAACACAUCACCAAAACUUUGAUUAUACAUGCAUCCUGCUUGAUUAUACACAUACUUUUUUAUUUUCCUUCAUCUAGGCUUUUUUUUCUUACAUCUGGUCAUCCAUAGUAAGAACCUUAGAAGAGGAUAUUUUGUUCUUAGAAUUUUUAAUGAGGUCUGGAAGAGAUGAGCAAUUUUGUGGUAGAAUACAUUUAAAAGAUUAGCAACUAUGGGAAUAUUCCCUACAGUACAAUUUGAUGAAGGAAGUUUGGAGUUAACGCUUACGGGUGGUGAGAAUUGUAUUGAGUGGUCUUAAUUAACAACUUUAUUUGGCCAAGGAGUUUUAUGUUAGCGCUGAGGAAGGUGAGAAUUGAAUUCUGAAAUUUGUGAAUAAACUGACUGUGUGAAGGAAGGGCAGAAGGAUUUGCUGAGAUUGGCUUACGAGGAAGCCAAUAGCUCAUUCACCAGCCUCUCAAGAAAGAAAAGCAACUGGAGAAUCUAAGUGUGAGUUAAUCUAGAAGAGAACAACACUUUUCCUUAAAGAAAAGAAAAAAGCAGGAAAGUCUCACAAAGGAAAGUGCUAAGUUUUAAAAAUUACAGCUAUGAACUUUUCAAUGAUUCUAUAGAAUUAUAAAAAUUAUAGCAGUACUAUGGAAAUGGCCCAAAAUUACACUGACACAGAAGGAGUCAAGAGGAUUUAAUUCAUGCUUAAAAAAAAAGAUGGCUGCUGAUGAUAGGUUGCAUUUCUCAAUGAAUCUACAACUCCCUUUGAGGCUGAACUUAUAAUAUAGGAAUAUAAUUUGAAUAUUUUACCUUAAAAUUUUUUCGUGAAACUCCUUUUUACCUUUCAUUUUAGUUGUUACUUACCUUGAGGUCUCUUUGAGCCACUCUGCCCACUAUCAUGUGGGUCACAGUUAGUACUCUCUUGGCUCAGUGACAGUAAAUUUCAGACCACUGUUCAACCACACUUUUUUAAUAGAUCGUCCUUUGAAAUUUAUACUAUAAAUUUAUCAUCUCCAUCUAACAAACUCCAAGGCAUCUCUUUAUCAGGUCACUGAUUUUUUUUCCUCUCCAGUUCCAUUAUCAUCUUGAGUAGUUUCAACAUCCAUGUUUAUAAGCUAGACAUUACCACAACCUUAUUGUUCCUCAGGCUUCUCUACAUCAACAAUCAUCUACACUAUACUUCAGAAACUUACAUAUUUAUUAAACAAACCCUUUACAACAACUUCCUAAUUUUCAAUCCCAUCUUACUUUUACACAAAACCUGUUCUCCACACAUGAAAAUCUAGCUUAAUUCUAUCACACCUAGUUUAUUACUCAGCUGUCCCCUGGCUUCUUCUGACCCCCUCAUCCAACUUUGAACCUAUAGCUACAUAUUUCAAAUAUACUCUCACUAGCACUCUCAAAUCAUUUACCUAAUCCACUUCAUACCACACACCAAACAUGUUAAUCCCUAAGGAGGGUGUUCCUGCUCUUAAAUUUCUGAGUAUUGAGGAAGAAAAUCAUUUAAUUCUACAGAUUCUUCACUAAGCAUUGGGUAUUCCAGUUCCAGAAAGGAUCUUCAAUGCUAUACGGUCAUCCAGCUAGUUAAGCCUUCCCAGUCCCAUUGCUCCUCAAUGAAAUAAAUAAAUAAAAGCUCUGAAUCCCAAACCUGCUUCUUACCUUCCCUCUCUCUACACAGGUUGCACAUUGGAAUUAUCUAGAUCAUAUUUUUUAACACGUCAAGACCUUGGCCCCACCCCAAAACAAUUAAAUCAGGAUGCUUGGGUAUGGGAACCGUACGCCUGCUCUACACUUUUUGUUUGCCUCUAAACCUUCACCUGUUCUUUCUUGCUCCUCUGACAACCCUAUCCUCACCUUUAUCCAUGAAUUAUCUUAACUUUUACUAAUAACUUCAAUCUUUUUCUCUUACAUCUAAAACUACUCUAAAAUUUUAAAGUUUAUUUUAAAAUAGGCUGUAAUAAAUAAAGGUUAUUUUGAUCUAGAUGUCAUUAAAAAAUUAAGGCUUCAAACUAACAAAUCACUUACUAACAUAAUGCAUUAAGUAAAAUAAUGCCUAAAGGAUGCACCAUUUAAUAGUAUGUUAUAGUUUAUGUUAUCAAAAUACAUAUAAUUUUAUGCAACUGUGAAAUAAAUACUUCAAUAAUAAAGUCUUUCUACAUUAUAAUUACAAAAAAAAUGAUUAAUUAUAUUUCUUCUUAACGGUGGUGAAUAUAAGAAAACAAUAUAUUCGAUUUUUAGGAGCAAACAAAUGACUUCCCUGAAGUACAUAUGGCAUUAUAGGAUGCCAGAAGACAUUUUGCAUUUUUAGGAGAAACUGAACUGUUACACCAAAAUGCCAAUUAAGGUGGUAUCUUUAUCUGAAUAGGGUUUUACAGCAUCCCUUAAGGCACAUACACCCUAUCCAUAUGUGCCAGCCCAGUUCUGACAACAGUGUUAAUGCUCACUUGGGUACUGGUCCUCAGAUUUGAUAGGAAGGGAACUCAGAAAUACCUGAAGUGCUGUUUUUCAAAAUACUUUUCCUUAUCAUCUUCUCUACCCAUGCCCCAACAUACACUCAUUAUUAGGUUAUGAUAAGAUCCUUCCUGAAAACUUCAGAACACUGAAAUUCCCUUUCUGAAAACUAGUCUGAGUGAAGCUGGGUUCUUUUUCCUUGACCCUUGUUAUUAAUAACUUCAGUUUCCACCUGAAUUCAAAAUGAUUUAGCAAUCUAAAUAAAGUCUAUAGAUAAAGAUACAAUGUGGAGAGUCUGGAUGUGGAGCCACCACCCAAAAAGUGUUUGUUGUUGAAAAGAAAAAGUGUUGAGCCAAAAAGAGCUAAGCAACCUGAAUUGUCCUUAACCACUGAGGAAAUGAAAUAGGUAAUUUAAAAUCUCCAGACCCAGAUGGUUUCAGUGAAAAAUUCUAUCAAAAAUUUAAAGAAGAACUAACACAAUCUUCCAAAAUUGCGCAAUUUUACACAAUCUUUACCAAAAAAUAAACGAGGAGGGAACAUUUACCAACUCAUUUUAUGAGGCCAGUAUUAUCCUGAUACCAAAACUAGGAAAAGAUAGCAUAGAUAAUGAAAACCACAGAUCAAUAUCUAUCAUGAACUUAGAUGCAAAAUUCUUCAACAAAAUACAGCCACGCAUCACUUAAUGAUGGGGCUAUGU